GACGAACGCUGGCGGCGUGCUUAACACAUGCAAGUCGAACGGAAAGGCCCUGCGUUUGUGGGGUGCUCGAGUGGCGAACGGGUGAGUAACACGUGAGUAACCUGCCCUUGACUUUGGGAUAACUUCAGGAAACUGGGGCUAAUACCGGAUAGGAGCUCCUGCUGCAUGGUGGGGGUUGGAAAGUUUCGGCGGUUGGGGAUGGACUCGCGGCUUAUCAGCUUGUUGGUGGGGUAGUGGCUUACCAAGGCUUUGACGGGUAGCCGGCCUGAGAGGGUGACCGGCCACAUGGGGACUGAGGUACGGCGCAGAGUCCUACGGGAGGCAGCAGUGGGGAAUAUUGCACAAUGGGCGGAAGCCUGAUGCAGCAACGCCGCGUGCGGGAUGACGGCCUUCGGGUUGUAAACCGCUUUCGCCUGUGACGAAGCGUGAGUGACGGUAAUGGGUAAAGAAGCACCGGCUAACUACGUG
This 468-nucleotide ribosomal RNA is filed under the name uncultured bacterium. RNAcentral describes it as "partial 16S ribosomal RNA". It matches the Rfam family "Bacterial small subunit ribosomal RNA", at positions 28 to 507 of the family's 1533-position model. The record is from RNAcentral.